RNAcentral lists this transfer RNA (71 nucleotides) under Loxodonta africana (African savanna elephant). It matches the Rfam family "tRNA". From Rfam's summary of the family: Transfer RNA (tRNA) molecules are approximately 80 nucleotides in length. Their secondary structure includes four short double-helical elements and three loops (D, anti-codon, and T loops). Lineage: Eukaryota; Metazoa; Chordata; Mammalia; Proboscidea; Elephantidae. The record is from Rfam by way of RNAcentral.
GCAAUGGUGGUUGAGCGGUAGAAUUCUCUGCUCUCACGUAGGAGACCCAGGUUCAAUUCCUGGCCAAUGCA